This is a microRNA precursor of Medicago truncatula (barrel medic), 208 nucleotides long. It matches the Rfam family "MIR2619 microRNA precursor family". The record is from Rfam. NCBI's taxonomy places the organism in Eukaryota, Viridiplantae, Streptophyta, Magnoliopsida, Fabales, Fabaceae.
AAACAGCCUUCUAUGUAUUGGAUCUUUGGCAGUUUUGGCCCCCAAUGCCACUUUUGACUUAGUCUUCGCUGACGUGGCACCCACAUCCCUUAAGUGAGGUGCCACGUGUCGACCAUUGUGAAUGUCACGUCAGCGAAAGCGAAGACUAAGUCAAAAGUGGCAUUUGGGGCUAAAACUGCCAAAAAUCCAAUACAUAGGGGGCUCUAUU